Dasypus novemcinctus (nine-banded armadillo) is the source of this 2762-nucleotide long non-coding RNA. NCBI's taxonomy places the organism in Eukaryota, Metazoa, Chordata, Mammalia, Cingulata, Dasypodidae. The record is from Ensembl.
GGCUUUUUAGACUUAUGUUCUACUUCCAAAAAAUUAGUGUUAACAGCUUUGCAGAUGGUUUUACAAAAUAACCUGGCCACAAAAAACUCCAUUUUUCUAGCAGCAAUAUGGUUGGGGCUACACCUUCUCCCUUGUCCUGUCCCCCAUUUCCCUACCUUCAAAAGGCAAAAUCCAAACAUUACAAUGCGGGCAAAUAUUCCCUCGUGCAUGGGUUUUCUUUUGUAGUCCAAGAAAGGGGAAUCAAUGGACAGGUUCAUAGACUGCCCGUUGAUUGUUCAUAGACAUAAAUGUUAUAGCCGGAAUCUUUCUCAGAGUUCAUCUAAAACAAAUCUGCCAAUUUACUGAGGAGACUCCAAAAACUGGAGGGACUUUGGGAAGGUCAUGUGCCUUCUGAGUAAAGUACUAACUCUUAAGUACUGCAGCCUGCCGCAGGUAUGGGAAGGUGGGGAGACCUGGAUUAAGUGCUUUAUCUAGUACUGCUGAAAGGAUCUUGAUCAAACUCACUUUAUACUCCACGACUCCAUUUCUGUCCUGCUCUAGGUGUUUCCUCUUUGGAGAGUCAAAGCCUUUUCUUCCUUUCCCUAUCCCAGAUUUUGCUCCCCUCUUUCCUUUCCUUCUGCUUUCCUUCUCACACUCCCCAACCGUGAGAUUUUAUUUGGAUUUUUAAAAUGAAACCAGGUGCUGCAUAAAACAAAAGCAAAGUAAUAACAAGGAAAGACUAUCCAAUGCCUAAGGAAUGUGCUGAGUUUUAUGACUCAGGCUGUCCUGGCAAAGAAAUCUGACUUACACGGAGAGGUGGGUGGCACAGAGCACAGACCAUACAUGGCAGCCGUGGCCUCCCCAGAUAGGCCAUGGUCAAGGCAGCCUGUGACUCAUUUCACAAAACCAGAGACUCUUGUUCCUUGUGGAACAAGACCUCCCAGAGGCCAGAGCCCAACGAGCAGCUUUUCCCAGCUGGGCCAGUUCAGUCUGACAUUACCAGGGGCCACCCUGAGGCCCGGUUUGAAUGGGACUGAUGCUGCUCCUUGUGGUUUGCGCCACGGCAAGACGGCUGACACUUUCGAAUGAGAAUGAACCUUGACUGGCAUAAAUGAGAUCUCCAGGCUGCAGCCUCGUGGCACACGGGCUCAUUCUUCCUUCUUUCUUUUUGCUUUCCCUUUUCAUGGACUGGCCGUCUGAAGACUACUGUGACUACCGUAAUUGCAGGAAAAGCUCUGCUUAACUUUUUCAUGAAGGUCUACAUACCUGGAAAAAUAAAGUCUUUUAAGGACGAUGACUUCAUAAAUAUUUAUAGUGUGGACAGGCGUCACUCUAGGUCUGCGGGGGAAGUGGGCUCCUUCAGUUUUAUUUAUUAUGUGACAUUUCAGGUGAGUGACACCCGUCACCUGGGUUGGUCCUAUGCUCUGUUCCACUGAAGCAUGUUUAUGGAGUGAUUAUGCCUGCAAAUAUUUUCUAUAUUUAGUUCCUCUCCUCCCCUAACCCUCUCUUAGCCCUCUUAACUCUCCAAACCAGCUAAAAGCCAAGCUGACGGUCUAGGGGAGAUUUGAACCCAAAUGACAAGGCAGAGGGACUCCAACAAGUGCUGUAGACGCAUUUGACGAAUUGGGAGGCAAUUAGAGUGGGAAUGAUGACUGUUAACCAUCGCUUUCGUAGACUACGACAGUUUUGUUGGGCCUGCGUCUAGCAGGUGAAGCUCUCAGCUGGCCAUGAGGGGUUUUGACAGGUGAUGGGCACAGCCUUGAGUGAUGGAUGCAGAGGGAUACUUAGCGCUUUCCUUUCCAGGGAGCUUUCUCUGGACAGGACUUCAGAGGCCCUCUGUUCUGUCACUGAGCACCCCAGGGCUUUGGGGGUAGGAGCUGGUGAGCAUCCUGUGACUCCCUCUUGGUCAAGAUCUCUGGUGUCACCUGAGAUUUUCCUCUCUCAGCCAUACCUGGCUCUAUGUGUGAUAGAGUAAGGGGGCAGCAGCUGUGGAGGGGAGCAGGCCAGCUCUGGCUUUCUGGCUUUACAGCUGCACAUGCCCUGACCUAAGCCCUUCAGGCUGCAUUUAGAUCUACCUCAGGGCUCCAUAUUUGCCACUGAUCAGCUUGACCACCUAUUGUUUACCCUAGGAAGAGCCAGGUCUUGGCAGAAGGGCCCAAAGCUUUGCCAGUAUUUUAUUUUUAGAGACAGGAAAAUGUCUGCUUUUUGGCAGCUGUGCUCUUUUCUUGGCACACACCAGGAAUGGGGUAAAGAAGUUCAAGUGAGAGAUUCCAAUCCCUAAAUUCAUGUCAUAUGACACAGAUGAUAGCAUCAUGAAUCUUUCCAUGGGAGCCUUCAUGGAGUCUAAAAUCUUUUGUUAGAAUGCCUCCUUAGCAAGGCUGUGGCCCACCUGCCACAUCCUGGUAGCAAGAGGCCUCUUGUCCACAAAUCUCAUAGCUUGGACAGCUAAGGAGCUCCUUUUCAGUGUGUCAGCUCCUGAAAUAUAAAGUUUUUUACCUCUGUUCACUUCCUUGUCUAUCAAUCCAUUUAAUCUAGUUCAGUCUGGUAGGCAAAGUUAAAAAAAAAAAAAAGAAAUGGAUCAGUCCUCUAAAUGCUAUGUUCAUCAACCCUCCUCAGACCCACUGACAUUGUCAUCAUGGUUAUUGGUGCCAGGCAGCCAGCUUUUAUGGCAACAAGUGUACUACUAGACUCAGAGAUUGCAUUUCUCAAUUUUAUGGGAAUUAUUAUUUGUUCCAGCAUGGCUGCUCUUAAAACAUACUUUCGUAGGUCCUGUGAUUCUGGCU